Long non-coding RNA from Eriocheir sinensis (Chinese mitten crab), 2503 nucleotides. RefSeq lists it as uncharacterized. The record is from RefSeq and is a predicted model, not a curated record. The transcript is spliced from 4 exons. Lineage: Eukaryota; Metazoa; Arthropoda; Malacostraca; Decapoda; Varunidae.
GGGCCGGUCCAUCGUCUAAAGUGUUCUGUCCCCGCCGGUCAGCUGGGGCUUGUUCAGGGGCAAGAUCCCUUUAUUUAAAUCUUGGUCAGGGGAGGCGGGGUCGGGCUGCAACACGUUCCCGCCGGCCAGGUGAGAAGCAGAAGGUGGAGUUUGGGGUCGAGGCUCAAUUUGAAGCACGAAUUUGUUGCCUUAGGUCCCGAGCACAAGGUUCAUAUUUAUCGAACUCCGGGACACCUUUAAACGGGGCGACAAGGCAGCUGGUGUUUGUACCAUAAAUGCGGAUCUACUCUAGGAUGGGAGUGAGGCCAUGAUCCGGGAGGUGCACGCGUGUAUGCUGUACGGCGAUCUGGUGGCUGGAGGUGAGGACUGAAACAACCAGCGCGGUAUUACAUUGAUCAGCGUGCCAACCAUGGUGCUUGUCCUCCUGUUGCUUACGCGGGUACACAGCCACCUCCUGAACCAGCGGCAGGUCGAGUAGUCUGUAACCUCACGAGCUAUUAACUUUUACCCUUUAAGUUACUAUUAUAGAAAGGCGUUUGAGUCACAGAAUCGAUACUGAUUGUUGUUAUCAUUUUCAGAACCGCCGCCGCCGCCACCACCACCACCACCACCACGGCUACGACCCCCCACCCCCACCACUGCCACCACAACCCCCACCACUGCCACUCCAACCUCAACCACUGCCACCCCCAGCAUGCUCCUGCCUGCCCCCCUCCCCCUGCCCCCCGCCACGGCCCCCACCCCCUCCUCCUCAGUCAUUGGGGAGGGCGGGGGGGAGGUGGGGAGGGUGGCCGAGGGGGGGGAGCGAAGGGGGGAGGGGGCGUGGAGGAGGGGAAGGGGCGUCCGUGGCCGUGUGCGUAGAUGCCUAUGGCCCGUAGAUCACACACAGGUGAAGAAGAAACUGGAGGAGGAAAUGAGGAAGAUGGAGGAGGAGGAGGAGGCGAGGUUCAGGGAGAGGUGGGAGGUAGUGGAGGAGGUCCCUGUUCCCUGCCCCCACCCCCCUCCCGCCUUCUACUGGAGCAAGGUGAAAGAAGAGAAGAAAGAUGAAUCACACACAACCACUCCUAUUCCUCCUCCUCCUCCUCCUCCUCCUCCUCCUCCUCCACCUCCUCCACCUCCUCCUUCUUCCUCUUCAGCCUCCCUCCCUCCAGAUAUUCGUCUUCUCCAUGCAAGAGCUAAAAGAGGAGGAGGAAGAAGAGAAGAAGGAGGAGGGAGAGGAGAAGGAGGAGGAAGAGGAGAAGAAGGAGGAGGAGGAGGAGGAGGAGAAAAAGGAGGAGAAAACCAAAGUAUACCUGUCUCUUCCUCCUCCUCAACCUCCUCCUCCUCCUCCUCCUCCUCAACCUCCUCCUUAACCUCCACCUCCUCUUCCUCAUCUUCCCCUUCUUCCGUCCCUUCCUCCUCCACAUCCUCUACCUCUUCUACUUCGUCGUCAUCUUCAUCUUCGUCUUCUUCUAUUCCUCCUCCUCCUCCUCCUCCUCCACCUCCUACUCCUCCUCCUCCUGCAAGCUCAAGAGGAAAGAGGCGCCCCCCCUCCCCCUCCCCCCCUUGCACCCCUUCCAAGCGAUUGAGAAUGUAGACGAGAGAGAGAGAGAGAGAGAGAGAGAGAGAGAGAGAGAGAGAGAGAGAGAUUUAUGUCUGUUUAUUGAUUGAUUAUAAACGUUGCUACAUUAUUUUUUUUCUCAUUGUAUUGUUGUUGUUGUUGUUUUUCUUCUUUAUUCACUUCCACGUUCUCUUUUUUUUUAAGUGAUCUUUUAAAAGCACAGAUUUAUUUUUGUUGUUUGUUGUAUAAGACGUACGAAUUUAUAUAUUUUUUUCUUUCGUUAUGUGUAUGUUUGUUUGUUUGUUAGUGAUAUAUUCCUUCAUUGCUGUUGUAUUUCCUGUAUUUUUGUUUUUUUAGCUGUAUUGUAUUAAUGUAUUUAUUUAGUGAGUCUAAUAUAUAUUGUAAUAGUUAAGGGCUGAGUAACUAUUUAUAUAUUCCCUUCGUCUGAUCAUAUAUAUUUUCUGUGUAUUUGUAUCUAAAAAACGUAUCAUCUGUGAGCCGUAUGUGUUUGUGUUACGUGUAGAUAUGUCUAUAUAUUGUUGUUGUUGUUGAUGUCAUUAUUGUCAUCGUUAUUAAUAUUAUAGGUCUGUUCCGCGUGCAAUAUUAAAGUUAAGAUAUUACAGUUCCUCCCUCCAUCUUCAUCUUCCUCUAUUUUCUCUUUCUUCCUCCUUUUCCUUCAUUUUCUUCUUUCACUCUUUUUUUCCUUUCUAUUCCUCUUCCUUCUACCCCUUCUUUCUCCCUCUCUCCUUCUUUUCCUUACUCAAUCUUUUACCUCGGUCCUCUCUUUCCUCUUCCUCUUCCUCCUCCUCCUCCUCCUUCUUCUUCUCUUUUCUUCAUUCCUCUCCCAGUUCCCUUUUCUCUCCUCAUCUUUCCAUUCCCUUACUGAACCUACACACACACACACACACACACACACACACACACACACACACACACACACACACACACACACACACACACACA